RNAcentral lists this ribosomal RNA (279 nucleotides) under Eubacterium coprostanoligenes. RNAcentral's name for it is "partial 16S ribosomal RNA". It matches the Rfam family "Bacterial small subunit ribosomal RNA", at positions 498 to 776 of the family's 1533-position model. The record is from RNAcentral. Lineage: Bacteria; Bacillati; Bacillota; Clostridia; Eubacteriales; Eubacteriaceae.
UAUGGUAGUGCCAGCCGCCGCGGUAAUACGUAGGUGGCAAGCGUUAUCCGGAAUUACUGGGUGUAAAGGGAGCGCAGGCGGGAUAGCAAGUCAGCUGUGAAAACUAUGGGCUCAACCCAUAAACUGCAGUUGAAACUGUUAUUCUUGAGUGGAGUAGAGGCAAGCGGAAUUCCGAGUGUAGCGGUGAAAUGCGUAGAUAUUCGGAGGAACACCAGUGGCGAAGGCGGCUUGCUGGGCUCUAACUGACGCUGAGGCUCGAAAGUGUGGGGAGCAAACAGG